GAAGAUUUGAUAACUCUCUGGACGACGUUCGGACACAGAAGCUCGGACGAUAAAAUCCCAUCGGACGUCCGAACAACAACUUGACUGAUUUUCGGACGAUGGGAUCGGACGAUGACUAAGCUGUCGGACGUCCGACAGGCCAACGGCUAGUUUCGACAGCAUUUAAUAUUUGACCGUUGGAGAGCCUUUUGGAGCCAUUUCUCACCUUCUAUAAAUACCCCAAAACACAAGAAGAUAGGAGACCUUUUGCCAACACUAUAUACAAGCUUACAAGUGAGAUCUUUGAGUAGAAAUAUUCUUUGUUGGUUGUAUAAGGGGUUGGGAAAGUUGGGUUGUGAGGUUGCUCAAGUGAAGGUUACUCUCUAGGAGAAGUAAAACCUUAGUGAAGGUGAACCUAUCACUUGAAGUGGUAAAACCUUGGUGAAGGUUGCCUCAUUUGUAUAAAAUAGUUCUUAAUUGGGUGAGUGAUCUUUCAAG
Molecule: long non-coding RNA, 477 nt
Filed under: Coffea arabica (coffee)
Lineage: Eukaryota; Viridiplantae; Streptophyta; Magnoliopsida; Gentianales; Rubiaceae
Description: long non-coding RNA (CARA_LNC007796)
Source: RNAcentral